GGAUGUGUAGCUCAGUGGUAGAGUGCGUACUUAGCAUGUACAAGGUCCUGGGUUCAAAUCCCAGCACCA
RNAcentral lists this transfer RNA (69 nucleotides) under Fukomys damarensis (Damara mole-rat). It matches the Rfam family "tRNA". Rfam says of the family: Transfer RNA (tRNA) molecules are approximately 80 nucleotides in length. Lineage: Eukaryota; Metazoa; Chordata; Mammalia; Rodentia; Bathyergidae. The record is from Rfam by way of RNAcentral.